This 253-nucleotide ribosomal RNA is filed under the name uncultured bacterium. RNAcentral describes it as "partial 16S ribosomal RNA". It matches the Rfam family "Bacterial small subunit ribosomal RNA", at positions 524 to 776 of the family's 1533-position model. The record is from RNAcentral.
UACGGAGGGUGCAAGCGUUAUCCGGAUUCACUGGGUUUAAAGGGUGCGUAGGAGGGCAGGUAAGUCAGUGGUGAAAUCCCCGAGCUUAACUUGGGAACUGCCGUUGAUACUAUCUGUCUUGAAUGCUGUGGAGGUGAGCGGAAUAUGUCAUGUAGCGGUGAAAUGCUUAGAUAUGACAUAGAACACCAAUUGCGAAGGCAGCUCGCUACACAGUUAUUGACUCUGAGGCACGGAAGCGUGGGGAGCAAACAGG